CGGAUUUCUUCGGAUUGAAGCAAUUGUGACUGAGCGGCGGACGGGUGAGUAACGCGUGGGUAACCUGCCUCAUACAGGGGGAUAACAGUUGGAAACGGCUGCUAAUACCGCAUAAGCGCACAGUACCGCAUGGUACCGUGUGAAAAACUCCGGUGGUAUGAGAUGGACCCGCGUCUGAUUAGGUAGUUGGUGGGGUAACGGCCUACCAAGCCGACGAUCAGUAGCCGACCUGAGAGGGUGACCGGCCACAUUGGGACUGAGACACGGCCCAAACUCCUACGGGAGGCAGCAGUGGGGAAUAUUGCACAAUGGGGGAAACCCUGAUGCAGCGACGCCGCGUGAGCGAUGAAGUAUUUCGGUAUGUAAAGCUCUAUCAGCAGGGAAGAAAAUGACGGUACCUGACUAAGAAGCCCCGGCUAACUACGUGCCAGCAGCCGCGGUAAUACGUAGGGGGCAAGCGUUAUCCGGAUUUACUGGGUGUAAAGGGAGCGUAGACGGCAUGGCAAGCCAGAUGUGAAAGCCCGGGGCUCAACCCCGGGACUGCAUUUGGAACUGUCAGGCUAGAGUGUCGGAGAGGGAAGCGGAAUUCCUAGUGUAGCGGUGAAAUGCGUAGAUAUUAGGAGGAACACCAGUGGCGAAGGC
This 642-nucleotide ribosomal RNA is filed under the name uncultured Lachnospiraceae bacterium. RNAcentral describes it as "bacterial SSU rRNA". It matches the Rfam family "Bacterial small subunit ribosomal RNA", at positions 67 to 722 of the family's 1533-position model. Lineage: Bacteria; Bacillati; Bacillota; Clostridia; Lachnospirales; Lachnospiraceae. The record is from RNAcentral.